This 452-nucleotide long non-coding RNA is filed under the name Salmo salar (Atlantic salmon). RNAcentral describes it as "lncRNA (ENSSSAG00000118518.1)". Lineage: Eukaryota; Metazoa; Chordata; Actinopteri; Salmoniformes; Salmonidae. The record is from RNAcentral.
GGUAGAUCUGUUGACAUCGCCAUGGCAACUGUAAACGCUCUCCUCUCUCGAAACUACAGUUUCUCAGCUCCCAAUUAAUUUGGUGAAAAAUGUUCUCUCUGUGUUUCUGUGAUGUUGUCGCUACGUCCCCAGGCAGUGUUGGCUGGUUGUCAGUUUUUAUGAGCCGCGAUAAUGAAAGAAAUGGACACGUCAUUGUCCUCUACUUUGCCCUCAUCCCAGCCGGCCUUCACCGGUCCUGACUUGGCAGCGGCUCGACAUGCCCCGACACGUCCCCAGCCAACCACACUCCCGGUCAACCAGAAAUGGACCUCCCUUGACUUGACUAUAAAUAGGUUAUAGAAGAACAGGAUAUGUUUACAGCCAGUCUCUUGACUGGGUUCCUCUAUCGUUUACAACAUAAAAGACCUCACAUUACACCACUAUACAAUGUAUGCCUCGUUGGUAUGUUGACA